RNAcentral lists this ribosomal RNA (774 nucleotides) under uncultured Neocallimastigales. RNAcentral's name for it is "partial large subunit ribosomal RNA". It matches the Rfam family "Eukaryotic large subunit ribosomal RNA", at positions 26 to 611 of the family's 3401-position model. The record is from RNAcentral. Lineage: Eukaryota; Fungi; Neocallimastigomycota; Neocallimastigomycetes; Neocallimastigales.
CGCAUCUGUGCAUGCAGCAUAUCAAUAAGCGGAGGAAAAGAAACUAACAAGGAUUCCCCUAGUAACGGCGAGUGAAGCGGGAAGAGCUCAAAUUUGAAAUCUUAAAGGGUUUCCCUUUACGAAUUGUAGUUUAAAGAAGUGUUUUCUGUUGAGGUUUUGGUAAAAGUUCUUUGGAAUAGGACAUCAUAGAGGGUGAGAGUCCCGUAUUUGACCUUUACUUUCAACUUUGUGAUACACUUUCAAAGAGUCGGAUUGUUUGGGAAUGCAGUCCAAAAUGGGUGGUAAAUUUCAUCUAAAGCUAAGUAUUGGCGAGAGACCGAUAGCGAACAAGUACCGUGAGGGAAAGAUGAAAAGAACUUCGAAAAGAGAGUUAAACAGUACGUGAAAUUGUCAAAAGGGAAGCGUUUGACACCAGUGUUGUUUUUCUGAAAAUCAAUUAAAGAACUGUUUAUGCUAAGUUGUUUAGACUUUAUCAGCUAACUGUUUAGUUUUGAGCUUUUCUUUAAUGCACUUUUCAGUUAACAAGUCAACAUCAAUUUCUUUUGCUGUAAAAAAGCUUGAGGAAGGUGGCUUGAGAUUCGUCUUAAGUGUUUAUAGCCUCUUGCCUAUGCAGUCGGAGAGAUUGAGGUCUGCAGCGUAGAUCCUUCGGGGCUAAAUGCAUUUGUGCUAAGUUAUAGCAUUUUAUAGACAACUUGUUGACUAUGAUUUGUCUUGUAGCUUACUCGCUUAUGUUAUUUUACCUACGCUUAGGAUGUUGAACGCGCACAGAGUCUC